UGCUGGAGGUAUCAGAAGUGCGAAUGCUGACAUAAGUAACGAUAAAGCGGGUGAAAAGCCCGCUCGCCGGAAGACCAAGGGUUCCUGUCCAACGUUAAUCGGGGCAGGGUGAGUCGACCCCUAAGGCGAGGCCGAAAGGCGUAGUCGAUGGGAAACAGGUUAAUAUUCCUGUACUUGGUGUUACUGCGAAGGGGGGACGGAGAAGGCUAUGUUAGCCGGGCGACGGUUGUCCCGGUUUAAGCAUGUAGGCUGAUUGUCCAGGCAAAUCCGGAUAAUCAAGGCUGAGGUGUGAUGACGAGGCACUACGGUGCUGAAGUAACAAAUGCCCUGCUUCCAGGAAAAGCCUCUAAGCAUCAGGUAACAUCAAAUCGUACCCCAAACCGACACAGGUGGUCAGGUAGAGAAUACCAAGGCGCUUGAGAGAACUCGGGUGAAGGAACUAGGCAAAAUGGUGCCGUAACUUCGGGAGAAGGCACGCUGGUGUGUAGGUGAAGUCCCUGCGGAUGGAGCUGAGACCAGUCGAAGAUACCAGCUGGCUGCAACUGUUUAUUAAAAACACAGCACUGUGCAAACACGAAAGUGGACGUAUACGGUGUGACGCCUGCCCGGUGCCGGAAGGUUAAUUGAUGGGGUUAUCCGUAAGGAGAAGCUCUUGAUCGAAGCCCCGGUAAACGGCGGCCGUAACUAUAACGGUCCUAAGGUAGCGAAAUUCCUUGUCGGGUAAGUUCCGACCUGCACGAAUGGCGUAAUGAUGGCCAGGCUGUCUCCACCCGAGACUCAGUGAAAUUGAACUCGCUGUGAAGAUGCAGUGUACCCGCGGCAAGACGGAAAGACCCCGUGAACCUUUACUAUAGCUUGACACUGAACAUUGAGCCUUGAUGUGUAGGAUAGGUGGGAGGCUUUGAAGCGUGGACGCCAGUCUGCGUGGAGCCAACCUUGAAAUACCACCCUUUAAUGUUUGAUGUUCUAACGUUGGCCCCUUACCGGGGUUGCGGACAGUGUCUGGUGGGUAGUUUGACUGGGGCGGUCUCCUCCCAAAGCGUAACGGAGGAGCACGAAGGUUAGCUAAUCCUGGUCGGACAUCAGGAGGUUAGUGCAAUGGCAUAAGCUAGCUUGACUGCGAGCGUGACGGCGCGAGCAGGUGCGAAAGCAGGUCAUAGUGAUCCGGUGGUUCUGAAUGGAAGGGCCAUCGCUCAACGGAUAAAAGGUACUCCGGGGAUAACAGGCUGAUACCGCCCAAGAGUUCAUAUCGACGGCGGUGUUUGGCACCUCGAUGUCGGCUCAUCACAUCCUGGGGCUGAAGUAGGUCCCAAGGGUAUGGCUGUUCGCCAUUUAAAGUGGUACGCGAGCUGGGUUUAGAACGUCGUGAGACAGUUCGGUCCCUAUCUGCCGUGGGCGCUGGAGAAUUGAGGGGGGCUGCUCCUAGUACGAGAGGACCGGAGUGGACGCAUCACUGGUGUUCGGGUUGUCAUGCCAAUGGCACUGCCCGGUAGCUAAAUGCGGAAGAGAUAAGUGCUGAAAGCAUCUAAGCACGAAACUUGCCCCGAGAUGAGUUCUCCCUGA
Molecule: ribosomal RNA, 1563 nt
Filed under: Klebsiella pneumoniae
Lineage: Bacteria; Pseudomonadati; Pseudomonadota; Gammaproteobacteria; Enterobacterales; Enterobacteriaceae
Description: partial 23S ribosomal RNA
Rfam family: Bacterial large subunit ribosomal RNA
Source: RNAcentral